Molecule: ribosomal RNA, 492 nt
Filed under: uncultured bacterium
Lineage: Bacteria
Description: partial 16S ribosomal RNA
Rfam family: Bacterial small subunit ribosomal RNA
Source: RNAcentral
AGUGAACGCUGGCGGUAGGCCUAACACAUGCAAGUCGAACGGCAGCACAGUAAGAGCUUGCUCUUACGGGUGGCGAGUGGCGGACGGGUGAGGAAUACAUCGGAAUCUACUUUUUCGUGGGGGAUAACGUAGGGAAACUUACGCUAAUACCGCAUACGACCUACGGGUGAAAGCAGGGGAUCUUCGGACCUUGCGCGAUUGAAUGAGCCGAUGUCGGAUUAGCUAGUUGGCGGGGUAAAGGCCCACCAAGGCGACGAUCCGUAGCUGGUCUGAGAGGACGAUCAGCCACACUGGAACUGAGACACGGUCCAGACUCCUACGGGAUGCAGCAGUGGGGAAUAUUGGACAAUGGGCGCAAGCCUGAUCCAGCCAUACCGCGUGGGUGAAGAAGGCCUUCGGGUUGUAAAGCCCUUUUGUUGGGAAAGAAAAGCAGCAGGUUAAUACCCCGCUGUUCUGACGGUACCCAAAGAAUAAGCACCGGCUAACUUCGUG